This 749-nucleotide long non-coding RNA is filed under the name Ixodes scapularis (black-legged tick). RNAcentral's name for it is "uncharacterized LOC120840792, transcript variant X1". The record is from RNAcentral. Lineage: Eukaryota; Metazoa; Arthropoda; Arachnida; Ixodida; Ixodidae.
UUUUUCUGACUCCUUUGUUUGAUAUCGUGUCGUAUCGUCGUAUUUAUGUAGUUAUUAGGAACGGCAAGCCUACGUUGUUGCGUCCUUUACCUGAAUAUCGUGACCGAAUCGAGUGUCGUCGAUUUGAAUCGUGUCUUGCGAACCAUCGUCGAACAAAAGGUCAUGGCUGGUCGCGGUUCAUCAGCGUUUGUUUUGAAACUGAUGGGUGCCACAAGGCAUGAAAGAGGUGACUUGCAGCAGCAAGACACCGCAAGCCUUCGCAGCAACUGGCUAGCCAGUGCUGCUCUGUUCUGAACUGUACUGCGUGUCAUGCGGAGGGUUUGUGCAAGCUCUCUGGGCGGCGACGCUAGCCACGGAGCUGGCCUCCCUCCCUUCCGUCAGCUGCAAUAUACUACAAGCACUGGGCUACAGCUGCAGCUAGCCCAUGGGUACCGGGGACCAUGACAUCAAUGAGCUGGCUUUCACCUUGUCCAAGGCAGCAGCGGAACACUACGGGCGGGACCCUGGAUCACUGCACCGUGGAUGCCGUUCUGUACCCUGCACGGCACUGUGUGUGGCUUAAGUGGCCAAGCAGAGGGUCAUUGCAUGACUUUUAUGAGGCGCCGCUAGCCAUUGUUUCAAACCGUCCUGAAUCACGGACCGAGCCUUGCAAGACCUCACUCUUAUGCCCUCUCCUUUCUGGUAGAUCGGGUCUUGCCAUCUUCCCCUCUCGUGGCUCCCUGUCUUAAAUAAAUAGUUUGUUUUUCUGA